RNAcentral lists this ribosomal RNA (253 nucleotides) under uncultured bacterium. RNAcentral's name for it is "partial 16S ribosomal RNA". It matches the Rfam family "Bacterial small subunit ribosomal RNA", at positions 524 to 776 of the family's 1533-position model. The record is from RNAcentral.
UACAGAGGUCUCAAGCGUUAAUCGGAAUUACUGGGCGUAAAGCGUGCGCAGGCGGUUUUGUAAGCCAGAUGUGAAAUCCCCGGGCUUAACCUGGGAAUGGCAUUUGGGACUGCAAGGCUCGAGUGCGGCAGAGGAGACUGGAAUUCCUGGUGUAGCAGUGAAAUGCGUAGAUAUCAGGAGGAACACCGAUGGCGAAGGCAGGUCUCUGGGCUGACACUGACGCUCAUGCACGAAAGCGUGGGGAGCAAACAGG